Molecule: non-coding RNA, 1329 nt
Organism: Pimephales promelas (fathead minnow)
Lineage: Eukaryota; Metazoa; Chordata; Actinopteri; Cypriniformes; Leuciscidae
Source: RefSeq, a predicted model, not a curated record
UGGUAAUGUACAGUUAACAUAUACUUCAGCAUUUUUCCAUUUACAGUAAUUUGUGAUGAUGUUUUACAGUGUAGAUCGCAGCGGUGUCCUCCCAUCAGGACUCUGAACACACACCGUGUAACAGCGUGGCUUUAAAUGGCCCUGCCAUCACUGAGCUCGUGUCAUUAGAUCACAUGAUAUCAGUGCUGAGGAGAUGUGUAAAUACUUCAACGUUGUCUAUAAUAACCCUGGUCAGACCUGAUUGUGAGUUUGCAGUGGAUUGUGGCAAACACUUUUGAGGAGGCUUUUUGUCGGGAGAUCAAAAGCUGGAGAUCAAGUUCAACAUCCAGAGCAUCUCCACGUAUCCCAAAGACCUUCGAGACUGAACACCUGCUUUGAAUGUGCUGCCCAGCUUCCCAUGUGGGUUUCUUGUCAUCUAACACCUCUGUGUUACACCUGAAAUUAGAGCACAGAGAGACACACCCACAACACACACACAUCACCCCCCAAUGAACUCCACUGGGACACACACACACACACACACACACGUGUCCUCCAGGCAUAUGCUCCAUUCAGCCGUAUAGAGGUGAUCUUUCAUUUCGACAGAUCAUCAGCUAUUCUUUCAUGCGAGAUGUGGAGAUACUGGUUUGCCGAGCACGACCACUGGCUUUUAAAGUCUUCGUACCGUCGACAGUGAGGAACAGGCCUCUGCUUCGACGCCGAGCCUAAUCUUAGAUUAGACAACGGCUUUUUUUUCCAAAGUUGCGCUUGUGGAUUUAAGGUUUGCUUAUUCUGAAAGCGUCCUGAAGAUUGUAUCUGGCUGAAGGGGGUGCCGCUGUUUCUGGCCCAUCAUCCAUUUGUGAGCAGCGAGGACGCAUGCCAACCCGUCAUGCUGGCUGUGGGUGUUAAUGAACAACCCCGGGUGUCUGUCAUCAAAUACAUGCCAAAGCACCCGAAAAAACGGUCUGAUCUGACCUUAACUGAAAAAAAUGGCCUCAACAUCCAAAUUAUUCGUAACUGACAAAACAAUAUCUGUCAAACUAUAGCAAUAACUGCAAUGCAGGAGAAACAGAUUUACUAAACAGGGCAAGUUAGCAUGAGAACGCAAGUCCAAAAAAGCUCAGAUGGAAGUGUAAUUUAUUGACGACGUGCAAAUUAAAGAACAGACGCAGCUGGAUCAUUUCCAUAAUGACCAACACAGUCUACAAAUUAGCAUCUGGUUUAAUACAUGCUUUUUUGGCCGUUAAAUAACAGUGGAAAUAUUGACCAGCGCAAACCUUAAAGGGGACAUUUCAUGCAAAAUCCACUUUUUUAGCCCUUAAAUGCAUUUUGUUGUCUAUAUUAUAAGUA